CUCCUUCCCCCCGCCCCCGACAGCGCCUAUAUUCGACUCGCCCGGAGCAAUCCUGGCUAUGGCGAUAAACGCGCGGAGAUAGGCGGAUCGGACCCGGGUGCGAUUCCCGGCGGCUCCACCAGCCUUCGCUCGCUGCGCGAGCUUCGGCUCGGCAAGCCAGAGCACUUCUGUUUCGGCGCAGCCAGCGAAGGCUGCCGCGUCGAAGCCCGGAGGGCGAAGGCGGGCCGUGUCGCAAUCGAGCAGAAGGCGCAGGCGGAUUUUCUCGUUGGGAAAUCCACGUGAGGGGCCGAAAUAGGAUCGACGGACGUUGAAGGACGAUGCUUUUGCUCGGGUGGUCCCGUUACAGGCCAUAAAGCAAUAGUUGCCAACGACAACUCUGCUGAGGGUUAUGCUCUGGCCGCGUAAGCGGUUUGAGGAAAAUCCACUCUAAGCCCUGACGAGUAGCAUCGUCAGGCGGGGCCGCGGGGCGCCUGGCAACAGAAGCCCCGCACU
Molecule: transfer-messenger RNA, 492 nt
Filed under: Hyphomonadaceae bacterium
Lineage: Bacteria; Pseudomonadati; Pseudomonadota; Alphaproteobacteria; Hyphomonadales; Hyphomonadaceae
Rfam family: Alphaproteobacteria transfer-messenger RNA
About the family: Bacterial tmRNA, also known as 10Sa RNA or SsrA, is named for its dual tRNA and mRNA-like properties. Its role is to liberate the mRNA from a stalled ribosome.
Source: RNAcentral